AUUGAACGCUGGCGGCAGGCCUAACACAUGCAAGUCGAGCGGAUGAAGGGAGCUUGCUCCUGGAUUCAGCGGCGGACGGGUGAGUAAUGCCUAGGAAUCUGCCUGGUAGUGGGGGAUAACUUCCGGAAACGGGCGCUAAUACCGCAUACGUCCUGAGGGAGAAAGUGGGGGAUCUUCGGACCUCACGCUAUCAGAUGAGCCUAGGUCGGAAUAGCUAGUUGGUGGGGUAAAGGCCUACCAAGGCGACGAUCCGUAACUGGUCUGAGAGGAUGAUCAGUCACACUGGAACUGAGACACGGUCCAGACUCCUACGGGAGGCAGCAGUGGGGAAUAUUGGACAAUGGGCGAAAGCCUGAUCCAGCCAUGCCGCGUGUGUGAAGAAGGUCUUCGGAUUGUAAAGCACUUUAAGUUGGGAGGAAGGGCAGUAAGUUAAUACCUUGCUGUUUUGACGUUACCAACAGAAUAAGCACCGGCUAACUUCGUG
This 484-nucleotide ribosomal RNA is filed under the name uncultured bacterium. Its description in RNAcentral is "partial 16S ribosomal RNA". It matches the Rfam family "Bacterial small subunit ribosomal RNA", at positions 30 to 507 of the family's 1533-position model. The record is from RNAcentral.